Long non-coding RNA from Myotis lucifugus (little brown bat), 604 nucleotides. RefSeq lists it as uncharacterized. The transcript is spliced from 4 exons. Lineage: Eukaryota; Metazoa; Chordata; Mammalia; Chiroptera; Vespertilionidae. The record is from RefSeq and is a predicted model, not a curated record.
CCGCAUCCCGCGUUGCUGUGGGGAGGAGAGAGGAGAAGGCAGCGGCGGGAGGCGGGAGGCGGGGGACAGACCUGGACCAGGGCGGAGGAGGAACACGCCACCGCGCCCUCUCCCUCUCCUGGGCGCUCGGGUCGCCGGCCCCACGUCGCUCGCUUCACCCACCGCACGCAGUUCCGCUGCGAGCGCGAGGAGGCGCAGGGCCCUCGCAGAGCUGGGGCGGAGGUCCUCCUUGCUCCCCCGGCGCCCCAGAGCCGAGGAUUCGCCGCGGAGGACCGCGCCGGGGCUGGAAGCGCCCGCGACCCCGCGAGUGCCGGCUGCGACAGACUGUGGCCUGAUGGACACCUGGUGUAGACAAUGAGGGAAGAACUCGCCUCUCACACCCAAGAGGUGACUCCAGAGCAAGGCCCAGAUGACCCCACGUGCCGGGACGAUGCGGCUGGCCUGCAUGUUUUCAUCCAUCCUGCUGUUCGGAGCCGCGGGCCUCCUCCUCUUCAUCAGCCUGCAGGACUCCACGGAGCUCACCUCCCAGCAGGUGCCAGGAGUAAAGUUCAACAUCAGGCUACAGCAGCCGCGCGACGACUUCCCGCCAGCAGUUCCCAGGAUG